Non-coding RNA from Gorilla gorilla gorilla (western lowland gorilla), 298 nucleotides. It matches the Rfam family "Metazoan signal recognition particle RNA". Rfam says of the family: The signal recognition particle (SRP) is a universally conserved ribonucleoprotein. It is involved in the co-translational targeting of proteins to membranes. The eukaryotic SRP consists of a 300-nucleotide 7S RNA and six proteins: SRPs 72, 68, 54, 19, 14, and 9. NCBI's taxonomy places the organism in Eukaryota, Metazoa, Chordata, Mammalia, Primates, Hominidae. The record is from Rfam.
GCCAGAUGCAGUGGCAUGCACCUGUAGUCCCAGUUACUUGGGAGGCAGAGGCAGGAGAAUCGUUUGAGCACAGGAAUUCUGGGCUCUAGUAUGCUAUGCCAAUCAGUUGUCUGCACUAAAUUCAGCAUCAAUGUGGUGAUCUCCCAGGAGCAGAGGACCACCAGGUUGCCUAAGGAAAGGUGAAUUGCCAGGUUGGAAAUAAAAAAGGCCAAAACUCCUGGGCUGGACAGCAGUGAGAUCACGCCUGUGAAUAGUCUCUGCACUCCAGCCUAGGUUACAUAGCAAGACCCCAUCACAC